UUUAGAGUUAGCUGAAUUUGAAAUUGAGUCAAAUGAACAGAAAAAUAACAUAGCAAAUAGCAAGAGUUUAUCGAGGAACACUUUAGAGCCCAGCCCAAGUUUUAAAUGUGGAAGAAAUUCUUUUAUUUUCCCCUUCUCAAUUUCUUUCCCAAUUAAUUGUGUGGCUAUGAUCCAGGAGGCAGGAGCUGUUGGAUGCAGAUUGUCACGUGUAUUUUGUUGCUGAUGACACGUUUCCCAAUGCUACCUUUAUUUGUCCUCUCAAGUCUCAAUGCCCCAACCUUUCACAUAAUUGUAUGACUCAUCAUCAAAUGAUAAUUAAUAACCACCACUACCACACAGACAAUCCUCAGAUAAAUAAAAUAGCACUAGCAAACAGAAUCAGUAUCUUCCAUUUCUUGAAUAUUCAUCAUCGUCUCCCUUCUUUCUGCAACUCAGUUUGCUCUACUAGUCUGAGUGAUGAAAGCUCUGGUAAAUUCCUCUUCUUGGUACAAGAUCGCAUUCCAAAGAAAUGGUGAUUACCGAGCAUUUAAUCCCACUACACAUGAAAUUAGUUCUUUCCGAUCCAAGAAGUUUCUUAAUGUUGGGUUUCGUAUCUGCUUUAAACACAAGCCUCUCCGCCCAAUUUCUGCAUCUACUCGUCCUUCUCUAUCAGCAGACUCCAAGGCAUGUUCUCUUUGCUUUUUGCUUAGAUGUCGAUUUUGAUCGGAUGCUAGCUUUUUCAUUUUGUCAGUUUUCAGCAACUUAAUCUUUAUCUAUGUAUAUCUUUUUUACUGAGAACUGAGCCUAAUCUGUGAAUUUGUUUUGAUUUCUUCUGCUAGACGGACUUGGAGUUGGAGGAAGCAAAGACCAAAACCCGAGAAACACGUAAGUCGCUUCCAUUCUUCGUCUUGCCUUUUCUCCUGUUGUUGACAAUCUUUGGACAAUUCUUAAUUAGUCUGAAUAUGGAGCUUCUCAUCAAUGUGCAGACCAAUCAAACACGGUUGAUGUCAAAUUCCACCUAAAGAAAGAGUGUUCUUUUGGUGAGCAAUUUGCUCUAGUA
This 1039-nucleotide unclassified non-coding RNA is filed under the name Hevea brasiliensis (rubber tree). The record is from RNAcentral. Lineage: Eukaryota; Viridiplantae; Streptophyta; Magnoliopsida; Malpighiales; Euphorbiaceae.